AGCGGCGAGCGAAACGGGAAGAGCCCAAACCAAAAAGCUUGCUUGUUGGGGUUGUAGGACACUCUAUACGGAGUUACAAAGGACGACAUUAGACGAAUCAUCUGGAAAGAUGAAUCAAAGAAGGUAAUAAUCCUGUAGUCGAAAAUGUUGUCUCUCUUGAGUGGAUCCUGAGUACGACGGAGCACGUGAAAUUCCGUCGGAAUCUGGGAGGACCAUCUCCUAAGGCUAAAUACUCUCUAGUGACCGAUAGUGAACCAGUACCGUGAGGGAAAGGUGAAAAGCACCCCGGAAGGGGAGUGAAAUAGAACCUGAAACCGUGUGCUUACAAGUAGUCAGAGCCCGUUAAUGGGUGAUGGCGUGCCUUUUGUAGAAUGAACCGGCGAGUUACGAUUUGAUGCAAGGUUAAGCAGUAAAUGUGGAGCCGUAGCGAAAGCGAGUCUGAAUAGGGCGUUUAGUAUUUGGUCGUAGACCCGAAACCAGGUGAUCUACCCUUGGUCAGGUUGAAGUUCAGGUAACACUGAAUGGAGGACCGAACCGACUUACGUUGAAAAGUGAGCGGAUGAACUGAGGGUAGCGGAGAAAUUCCAAUCGAACCUGGAGAUAGCUGGUUCUCUCCGAAAUAGCUUUAGGGCUAGCCUCAAGUGAUGAUUAUUGGAGGUAGAGCACUGUUUGGACGAGGGGCCCCUCUCGGGUUACCGAAUUCAGACAAACUCCGAAUGCCAAUUAAUUUAACUUGGGAGUCAGAACAUGGGUGAUAAGGUCCGUGUUCGAAAGGGAAACAGCCCAGACCACCAGCUAAGGUCCCAAAAUAUAUGUUAAGUGGAAAAGGAUGUGGCGUUGCCCAGACAACUAGGAUGUUGGCUUAGAAGCAGCCAUCAUUUAAAGAGUGCGUAAUAGCUCACUAGUCGAGUGACACUGCGCCGAAAAUGUACCGGGGCUAAACAUAUUACCGAAGCUGUGGAUUGUCCUUUGGACAAUGGUAGGAGAGCGUUCUAAGGGCGUUGAAGCAUGAUCGUAAGGACAUGUGGAGCGCUUAGAAGUGAGAAUGCCGGUGUGAGUAGCGAAAGACGGGUGAGAAUCCCGUCCACCGAUUGACUAAGGUUUCCAGAGGAAGGCUCGUCCGCUCUGGGUUAGUCGGGUCCUAAGCUGAGGCCGACAGGCGUAGGCGAUGGAUAACAGGUUGAUAUUCCUGUACCACCUAUAAUCGUUUUAAUCGAUGGGGGGACGCAGUAGGAUAGGCGAAGCGUGCGAUUGGAUUGCACGUCUAAGCAGUAAGGCUGAGUAUUAGGCAAAUCCGGUACUCGUUAAGGCUGAGC
Molecule: ribosomal RNA, 1316 nt
Filed under: Staphylococcus aureus
Lineage: Bacteria; Bacillati; Bacillota; Bacilli; Caryophanales; Staphylococcaceae
Description: partial 23S ribosomal RNA
Rfam family: Bacterial large subunit ribosomal RNA
Source: RNAcentral